AGCAGAUCUCAAGAACAGCGCAGCCCACGACCAUGCGCCGUGCCCUCGCCAAUAGGAGUGGUUGUUGGCCGGCGGGAGAGCACAGCACGCUGCUCACCCCACUCUGCUUCUUCCUCAUCUCCUUGCUCAACGGGAGGAAAACAAGCAGCCGCCAAACCCUACCAGAGUGAGACGAGUGAGGGAGAUGGAAAAGGGAAAAACAAAGGGUCAGGGAGAUGGAAGAGGAUGCAAGAAAGAACUCAGAUCUACUCCAACAAGAGAAGCAUGGCCACUGCACCUUGUGAGUUCUUGUUCGGGUGAUUGGCUGCUGAUAGUGAGGGAGAUUGGAAGGGGAAGAAGAAUUGAGUAUGUUACAAGGCCUUCUAAUUUCCAGAAAUUCUAUCCGUUUGCAUUCCGUUAUUUACCC
This is a long non-coding RNA of Lolium perenne, 406 nucleotides long. RefSeq lists it as uncharacterized. Lineage: Eukaryota; Viridiplantae; Streptophyta; Magnoliopsida; Poales; Poaceae. The record is from RefSeq and is a predicted model, not a curated record.